AACGAACGCUGGCGGCAUGCCUAACACAUGCAAGUCGAACGAGACCUUCGGGUCUAGUGGCGCACGGGUGCGUAACGCGUGGGAACCUGCCCUUAGGUUCGGAAUAACUCCCCGAAAGGGGUGCUAAUACCGGAUAAUGUCUUCGGACCAAAGAUUUAUCGCCUUUGGAUGGGCCCGCGUUGGAUUAGCUAGUUGGUAGGGUAAAAGCCUACCAAGGCGACGAUCCAUAGCUGGUCUGAGAGGAUGAUCAGCCACACUGGGACUGAGAAACGGCCCAGACUCCUACGGGAAGCAGCAGUGGGGAAUAUUGGACAAUGGGCGAAAGCAUGAUCCAGCAAUGACGCGUGAGUGAUGAAGGCCUUAGGGUUGUAAAGCUCUUUUACCCGGGAUGAUAAUGACAGUACCGGGAGAAUAAGCUCCGGCUAACUCCGUG
RNAcentral lists this ribosomal RNA (433 nucleotides) under uncultured bacterium. RNAcentral describes it as "partial 16S ribosomal RNA". It matches the Rfam family "Bacterial small subunit ribosomal RNA", at positions 29 to 507 of the family's 1533-position model. The record is from RNAcentral.